UCCAGGAUAGCCUAGUGAACAUGGCACCUGCCCGGUAAGCAGAAGGUUGUGGGUUCGAUUCCCGCUCCUGGAC
RNAcentral lists this transfer RNA (73 nucleotides) under Cordylochernes scorpioides. RNAcentral describes it as "tRNA-Thr". It matches the Rfam family "tRNA". From Rfam's summary of the family: Transfer RNA (tRNA) molecules are approximately 80 nucleotides in length. Their secondary structure includes four short double-helical elements and three loops (D, anti-codon, and T loops). The record is from RNAcentral. Lineage: Eukaryota; Metazoa; Arthropoda; Arachnida; Pseudoscorpiones; Chernetidae.